RNAcentral lists this ribosomal RNA (274 nucleotides) under uncultured bacterium. Its description in RNAcentral is "partial 16S ribosomal RNA". It matches the Rfam family "Bacterial small subunit ribosomal RNA", at positions 523 to 796 of the family's 1533-position model. The record is from RNAcentral.
CUACGGAGGGUGCAAGCGUUGUUCGGAAUCACUGGGCGUAAAGGGCGCGCAGGCGGUUUGAUUAGUCAGAUGUGAAAGCCCACGGCUUAACCGUGGAAGUGCAUUUGAAACUGUCAGACUUGAGUAUCAGAGGGGAAAGUGGAAUUCCCGGUGUAGAGGUGAAAUUCGUAGAUAUCGGGAGGAAUACCGGUGGCGAAGGCGACUUUCUGGCUGAAUACUGACGCUGAGGCGCGAAAGCGUGGGGAGCAAACAGGAUUAGAAACCCGGGUAGUCC